AGAACACCCGAAAUGCCCCUCUCCCGGAGAUCACGGUCGUAAGCCUAAAACNAAAGGGAAUCGAGGGGGGCCCUCACAAGUGGCGGAGCAUGCGGAUUAAUUGGAUGCAACGUGAAGAACCUUACCAAGGCUUGACAUGUGCCAGACCGCUCCAGAGAUGGGGUUUCCUUUCGGGGCUGGUUCACAGGUGGUGCAUGGUUGUCGUCAGCUCGUGUCGUGAGAUGUUGGGUUAAGUCCCGCAACGAGCGCAACCUUCUUUCCAUGUUGCCAGCACGUAGUGGUGGGGACUCACGGGAGACUGCCGGGGUCAACUCGGAGGAAGGUGGGGAUGACGUCAAAUCAUCAUGCCCCUUAUGUCUUGGGCUUCACGCAUGCUACAAUGGCCGGUACAAUGGGUUGCGAUACUGUGAGGUGGAGCUAAUCCCUAAAAGCCGGUCUCAGUUCGGAUUGGGGUCUGCAACUCGACCCCAUGAAGUGGGAGUCGCUAGUAAUCGCAGAUCAGCAACGCUGCGGUGAAUACGUUCCCGGGCCUUGUACACACCGCCCGUCAAGUCACGAAAGUUGGUAACACCCGAAGCCGA
This 581-nucleotide ribosomal RNA is filed under the name Arthrobacter sp. RNAcentral's name for it is "bacterial SSU rRNA". It matches the Rfam family "Bacterial small subunit ribosomal RNA", at positions 848 to 1430 of the family's 1533-position model. The record is from RNAcentral. Lineage: Bacteria; Bacillati; Actinomycetota; Actinomycetes; Micrococcales; Micrococcaceae.